AUUGAACGCUAGCGGGAUGCCUUACACAUGCAAGUCGAACGGCAGCGCGGACUUCGGUCUUGCGGCGAGUGGCGAACGGGCGAGUCAUGUAUCGGAACGUGCCCAGUAGCGGGGGAUAACUACUCGAAAGAGUAGCUAAUACCGCAUACGCCGUACGGGGGAACGGGGGGGAUCGCAAUACCACCACCUGUUUGAGCGGACGCUGACGGAUUAGCAAGUUGGUGAUGUAAAGGCUCACCAAGGCGACGAUCCGUAGCUGGUUUGAGAGGACGACCAGCCACACUGUGACUGAGACACGGCCCAGACUCCUACGGGAGGCAGCAGUGGGGAAUUUUGGACAAUGGGGGAAACCCUGAUCCAGCCAUUCCGCGUGUGCGAUGAAGGCCUUCGGGUUGUAAAGCACUUUUGGCAGGAAAGAAAUCGCAUCAAUUAAUACUUGGUGUGGAUGACGGUACCUGCAGAAUAAGCACCGGCUAACUACGUGCCAGCAGCCGCCGCGG
RNAcentral lists this ribosomal RNA (500 nucleotides) under uncultured bacterium. Its description in RNAcentral is "partial 16S ribosomal RNA". It matches the Rfam family "Bacterial small subunit ribosomal RNA", at positions 30 to 523 of the family's 1533-position model. The record is from RNAcentral.